This 492-nucleotide ribosomal RNA is filed under the name uncultured bacterium. Its description in RNAcentral is "partial 16S ribosomal RNA". It matches the Rfam family "Bacterial small subunit ribosomal RNA", at positions 29 to 507 of the family's 1533-position model. The record is from RNAcentral.
AGUGAGCGCUGGCGGUAGGCCUAACACAUGCAAGUCGAACGGCAGCACAGUAAGAGCUUGCUCUUACGGGUGGCGAGUGGCGGACGGGUGAGGAAUACAUCGGAAUCUACUUUUUCGUGGGGGAUAACGUAGGGAAACUUACGCUAAUACCGCAUACGACCUACGGGUGAAAGCAGGGGAUCUUCGGACCUUGCGCGAUUGAAUGAGCCGAUGUCGGAUUAGCUAGUUGGCGGGGUAAAGGCCCACCGAGGCGACGAUCCGUAGCUGGUCUGAGAGGAUGAUCAGCCACACUGGAACUGAGACACGGUCCAGACUCCUACGGGAGGCAGCAGUGGGGAAUAUUGGACAAUGGGCGCAAGCCUGAUCCAGCCAUACCGCGUGGGUGAAGAAGGCCUUCGGGUUGUAAAGCCCUUUUGUUGGGAAAGAAAAGCAGCAGGUUAAUACCCCGCUGUUCUGACGGUACCCAAAGAAUAAGCACCGGCUAACUUCGUG